Molecule: long non-coding RNA, 1277 nt
Filed under: Vulpes vulpes (red fox)
Lineage: Eukaryota; Metazoa; Chordata; Mammalia; Carnivora; Canidae
Description: lncRNA (ENSVVUG00000014668.1)
Source: RNAcentral
CUAUCUUCCCCAUGGCUCUGCUAGAAACCUUUACCAUCCCCACCUUUUUUCACAGUUAUUAUUAGCACACCAUCGUCCUACUAUUUGCUCAUAAAUGAACCUGAACUGUGACUUGUUGCCGUGGUCCUAGCAUGGAGAGCAGUGAGUAACGUCUGGAACAUUUGGCUUAUUGGGCUGGUCCUCCUGAUGGUGUUAUUUCCUCUUGAGCCCUCCUUCUGUGAUUGGGUGAUACUGAUGCCUGGGUCAGGGUGGGAGUAGGAGGCAUAUCUGAGAAAUGGCCUGCCUAGCAUCUGUUAUUUGGGGAUGGAGGCACAUGUGGUAGAGCCAUGGUGAAAUGUGGCUGGAAGGGUCCCUUCCUACCAGCUUACAGCAGUGGACACUGACAUUUGAGUUUUAUGUACCAGUGUGGGCUAGUAUGGACUCAUUGGAGGAUGCUAGCAAGAAUCGAUGAGCCAAUAGGGUGUGUCUGCGAGAUUUUUCUGCACAGCACCAUGUGUGAGUUUGGUGACAACUGUUCCAGCCUUUUAAGGUCAUUGCUUUCCAAGCUAUUGAAGAACUCUCUUUAAGGUAAAAAUCAUUGUGAACCUCCACAUGAUAGUGAUUAUAUUUUUAAGGGUUGUUGAAGGAGAACAUAGGACCUAGACCAAAAACUAUAAAUUCAGUUACUUUUUAACAUGAAUUUGCAUUGUAUUCAUCAGCAUAGCACUUACAUUAGAGAAAUAGUGCACCUGUGUGUGAAGCAUGUGUUCUAUCUGCAAGUUUGGUGCACUGGUGGAUGCUCAAUUCUCUGUAAUAAUUUUAAGGUCUCCCAGAUUUGGGAAUCACCAGUGGGAUCCACAUCUUAGUAGGUCUCUUGCCUGAGUUGAAACCAGCUCUUCUCUCUGUACUCUCUUUAGCAGGGAAUGUGAGGACAUGGGCUUGGGGCUUCUGGGAAGCCUGCAUUUGGGGUAAGUGGAAAUAUUGCUAGGUUUUACUUAUUUUUUUUAUUUUUAUUUAAAGAUUUUAUUUAUUUAUUCAUGAGACACACACACACACACACACACACACACACACACACAGAGGCAGAGACACAGGUAGAGGGUGAAGCUGACUCCAUGCAGGGAGCCCGAUGUGGGACUGGAUCCUAGGUCUCCAGGAUCACACCCUGGGCUGAAGGUGGUGCUAAACUGCUGAGCCACACGGGCUGCCCUAUUACUAGGCUUUUAAAAUAUUUUGUCUUCAACCCACCUUUCUUGAUUUUGGAGGGGUAUCUUAUUCAAGUAGGAAUGGGUGAAAAA